This 827-nucleotide unclassified non-coding RNA is filed under the name uncultured Prochlorococcus sp. RNAcentral describes it as "partial 16S-23S ribosomal RNA intergenic spacer; may also contain 16S ribosomal RNA and 23S ribosomal RNA". The stretch from base 364 to 436 matches the Rfam family "tRNA". Lineage: Bacteria; Bacillati; Cyanobacteriota; Cyanophyceae; Synechococcales; Prochlorococcaceae. The record is from RNAcentral.
UUGUGGAGGAGGACGCCGAAGGUGGGGCUAAUGACUGGGGUGAAGUCGUAACAAGGUAGCCGUACCGGAAGGUGCGGCUGGAUCACCUCCUAACAGGGAGACAAAAACUGAUUGUGAUGUCUAGAUUUUAUUUUUAGGCCAUAAUCCUGUCACCUUAGGUCGAUCGGUACCUCAGAUUAAUUAUCUAAUAGAAGUUUUUAAGUGAUUAAUAAAUUUUUUAUUAGUGAUUAGAUUUCAGUUCCUAAAUCUGUCUAGGUCACACCCAACAAAAUUAUCUCUUGGGCUAUUAGCUCAGGUGGUUAGAGCGCACCCCUGAUAAGGGUGAGGUCCCUGGUUCAAGUCCAGGAUGGCCCAUUCGUUGUUGGGGGUAUAGCUCAGUUGGUAGAGCGCCUGCUUUGCAAGCAGGAUGUCAGCGGUUCGAGUCCGCUUACCUCCACUGAUCAACUGCCUAAUAACUCAAAUUUGUUGAGAUUAUUUUUGUUUAAUGUGACUUAGAUGUUGUUCCUCUGAACGAACCUAGCUUCCUGUCAUUCCUCUGUAAUUUUAAUAGAGGCUGAUAAGACGCUGGGCUCACUAAAAUCCUUUAUGGCUUUUAGUUAGUUUGGCAGAACCUUGACAACUACAUAUGUGAGUCUGGAAAGAAUAAAGCAUCUCAUAGAUGCAUAAUUCUAUUUACUUAGAUUUUCUAAGUAGAUAGAUUUAUGUGAAUUCUUGAGCAAGAGCUGAAAUUCUAUAAAUUGUUUUUGAUCUUUAGUUUUGAGGCAAUUACUUGCAACUCAACUUGAAUCAUUAACAAUGACUAGAAGUUAUUAAUGGUCAAGCUACAA